UAUUGGACAAUGGGCGAAAGCCUGAUCCAGCAAUGCCGCGUGAGUGAUGAAGGCCUUAGGGUUGUAAAGCUCUUUUACCCGGGAUGAUAAUGACAGUACCGGGAGAAUAAGCUCCGGCUAACUCCGUGCCAGCAGCCGCGGUAAUACGGAGGGAGCUAGCGUUGUUCAGAAUUACUGGGCGUAAAGCGCACGUAGGCGGCUUUGUAAGUUAGAGGUGAAAGCCUGGAGCUCAACUCCAGAAUUGCCUUUGAUACUGCAUCGCUUGAAUCCAGGAGAGGUGAGUGGAAUUCCGAGUGUAGAGGUGAAAUUCGUAGAUAUUCGGAAGAACACCAGUGGCGAAGGCGGCUCACUGGACUGGUAUUGACGCUGAGGGCGAAG
RNAcentral lists this ribosomal RNA (378 nucleotides) under uncultured bacterium. RNAcentral's name for it is "bacterial SSU rRNA". It matches the Rfam family "Bacterial small subunit ribosomal RNA", at positions 362 to 758 of the family's 1533-position model. The record is from RNAcentral.